This 700-nucleotide long non-coding RNA is filed under the name Phoenix dactylifera (date palm). RNAcentral's name for it is "long non-coding RNA (PDAC_LNC018615)". Lineage: Eukaryota; Viridiplantae; Streptophyta; Magnoliopsida; Arecales; Arecaceae. The record is from RNAcentral.
UAGUUUCCGUGGGGGUUGGCUUAAAUAGCCACAGAAGACUGUAGCAAGGCAGAGAACAACCAUUCCACUCCAACUAAUCAAGGAUUCAAGCUCUGCAACGUGCUCUUCAACGAAAAAGGGAAGAUCUGCAUUUACAGCUCCACCUACAUCUUCCCAGCAAUUAAAGCCUUCUCCUCCAGCAUUCAAGUCGACUACACAUUCGAGAGGAGACCGGAGUUCAAGAAGCCAUUCCUCUACUUCAGCUUAAAAGCGUUUGAGGGCUUCUAAACUCCUCUUUUGAUUAUAUUGUUUUACAUCUGCUUUUGAGAAGCUUAAUUUCCUUUCUAUCUAUAACUUGUAUUUACUUGGUUCAAUCGGGGGAUUGAAUCAAGGGGACUAAGGUUGGUUGGUGAGCCAAGUUAAAAACCAACGCGUGUAAGGGUUUGAUUGUGAGCCCGGGAAAACAAUCGGGGUUGGUUCUAGUCGGUGAGCCUGGGAAAACCGACCGAGUUCGUUGUGAGCUCGUAAAACAACAAGUUUGGUUGUGAGCUUGCAAAACAACCGGCUGUAAUCCAAGGGGGUUAUAGUGAAUUCCCAAGAGAGACUUGGGAAGUGGACGUAGGAGCAAGGGGUAGCUCCGAACCACUAUAAAACUCUGUGUUUGGAUUGGAUUGUCUCUCUUCUUCUUCCUCUCACAUCACUCACAGCACUUAGCAUUAAU